This 497-nucleotide ribosomal RNA is filed under the name uncultured bacterium. Its description in RNAcentral is "partial 16S ribosomal RNA". It matches the Rfam family "Bacterial small subunit ribosomal RNA", at positions 28 to 507 of the family's 1533-position model. The record is from RNAcentral.
GAUGAACGCUGGCGGCGUGCCUAAUACAUGCAAGUCGAGCGAACGGACGAGGAGCUUGCUUCCCUGACGUUAGCGGCGGACGGGUGAGUAACACGUGGAUAACCUAUCUAUAAGACUGGGAUAACUUCGGGAAACCGGAGCUAAUACCGGACAAUAUAUUGAACCGCGUGGUUCAAAAGUGAAAGACGGUUUUGCUGUCACUUAUAGAUGGAUCCGCGCUGCAUUAGCUAGUUGGUAAGGUAACGGCUUACCAAGGCAACGAUGCAUAGCCGACCUGAGAGGGUGAUCGGCCACACUGGAACUGAGACACGGUCCAGACUCCUACGGGAGGCAGCAGUAGGGAAUCUUCCGCAAUGGGCGAAAGCUUGACGGAGCAACGCCGCGUGAGUGAUGAAGGUCUUCGGAUCGUAAAACUCUGUUAUUAGGGAAGAACAAAUGUGUAAGUAACUAUGCACGUCUUGACGGUACCUAAUCAGAAAGCCACGGCUAACUACGUG